GCGCACGGGUGCGUAACGCGUAUGCAACCUACCCUUAACUGGGGGAUAGCCCGAAGAAAUUCGGAUUAAUACCCCAUAGUGUCCUCAGACGGCAUCAGAAGAGGAUUAAAGAUUUAUUGGUUAAGGAUGGGCAUGCGUGACAUUAGUUAGUUGGUGAGGUAACGGCUCACCAAGACCACGAUGUCUAGGGGUUCUGAGAGGAUGAUCCCCCACACUGGUACUGAGAUACGGACCAGACUCCUACGGGAGGCAGCAGUAGGGAAUAUUGGUCAAUGGGCGGAAGCCUGAACCAGCCAUGCCGCGUGCAGGAAGACGGCCUUCUGGGUUGUAAACUGCUUUUAUACAGGAACAAAUAGUCCAUGCGUGGAAAGUUGAGUGUACUGUACGAAUAAGCACCGGCUAACUCCGUGCCAGCAGCCGCGGUAAUACGGAGGGUGCAAGCGUUGUCCGGAUUUAUUGGGUUUAAAGGGUGCGUAGGUGGUCAAUUAAGUCAGUGGUGAAAGCCCACAGCUCAACUGU
RNAcentral lists this ribosomal RNA (519 nucleotides) under uncultured bacterium. RNAcentral's name for it is "bacterial SSU rRNA". It matches the Rfam family "Bacterial small subunit ribosomal RNA", at positions 98 to 616 of the family's 1533-position model. The record is from RNAcentral.